GGACUACCGGGGUAUCUAAUCCCGUUUGCUCCCCUAGCUUUCGCGCCUCAGCGUCAAGAAUGGGCCAGGUAGCCGCUUUCGCCACUGGUAUUCCUCCCGAUAUCUACGCAUUUCACCACUACACCGGGAAUUCCGCUACCCUCUCCCACCUUCCAGCCGAUCAGUUUCCGAUGCAAUUUCCCAGUUAAGCCGGGAGCUUUCACAUCGGACUUGACCAGCCGCCUGCGCGCUCUUUACGCCCAGUAAAUCCGGACAACGCUCGCCACCUACGUAUUACCGCGGCGGCUGGCAC
This 292-nucleotide unclassified non-coding RNA is filed under the name uncultured Chloroflexota bacterium. Its description in RNAcentral is "uncultured Chloroflexi bacterium contains 16S-23S intergenic spacer region". Lineage: Bacteria; Bacillati; Chloroflexota. The record is from RNAcentral.